RNAcentral lists this transfer RNA (72 nucleotides) under Stenocercus formosus. RNAcentral describes it as "tRNA-Ile". It matches the Rfam family "tRNA". From Rfam's summary of the family: Transfer RNA (tRNA) molecules are approximately 80 nucleotides in length. Their secondary structure includes four short double-helical elements and three loops (D, anti-codon, and T loops). The record is from RNAcentral. Lineage: Eukaryota; Metazoa; Chordata; Lepidosauria; Squamata; Tropiduridae.
GGAAAUAUGCCCGAAUUAUUAAGGACUACUUUGAUAGAGUAAAUUACAGAGGUUUGAACCCUCUUAUUUCCU